AAUUCGAUGAUACGCGAGGACCUUACCUGGCUUAAUGUAGAGUGCAUUUUCGUAGAGAUAGGAAUUCCCUUCGGGGCUUUCUGCAAGGUGCUGCAUGGUUGUCGUCAGCUCGUGCCGUGAGGUGUCGGGUUAAGUCCCGCAACGAGCGCAACCCUUGUCUUUAAUUGCCAUCAUUGAGUUGGGCACUUUAAAGAGACUGCCGGUGUUAAACCGGAGGAAGGUGGGAUGACGUCAAGUCCUCAUGGCCUUUAUGCCCAGGGCUACACACGUGCUACAAUGGGUGGUACAAAGAGAUGCAAUCUCGCAAGAGCAAGCAAACCUCAAAAAGCCAUCCUCAGUUCGGAUUGGAGUCUGCAACUCGACUCCAUGAAGUCGGAAUCGCUAGUAAUCGCGGAUCAGCACGCCGCGGUGAAUACGUUCCCGGGCCUU
This 429-nucleotide ribosomal RNA is filed under the name uncultured Syntrophus sp. RNAcentral's name for it is "bacterial SSU rRNA". It matches the Rfam family "Bacterial small subunit ribosomal RNA", at positions 948 to 1382 of the family's 1533-position model. The record is from RNAcentral. Lineage: Bacteria; Pseudomonadati; Thermodesulfobacteriota; Syntrophia; Syntrophales; Syntrophaceae.